Molecule: long non-coding RNA, 1086 nt
Organism: Raphanus sativus (radish)
Lineage: Eukaryota; Viridiplantae; Streptophyta; Magnoliopsida; Brassicales; Brassicaceae
Exons: 3
Source: RefSeq, a predicted model, not a curated record
CAUCAUUAACGCGGAUGCUUAACGCGGGUGCUUAGUGUUUUUAGGUUAAAAAGAAAAAGAAAAUUAUGUAAUUAAACAAACAACGACGCUUAAUUAAGACUCACAAGCAACGGAGCUUAUGCACACGUGUCACACAUUCAUCAUCCUCUAUCUUUCACGAUCGAAUCAUCUUCUCUGGUGACUCCUCGGCGACUCCGACUCCAUCUGGUGAUCUCUCCGUUGCAGUAAACUUUGGCCACCACCGGAUUGGUAACCGCCGGUUUCUUUCCUCCUCUCGCGCCAAUAGCUGCCGCCGUAAUUGGCUAUUCAGAAUCCCCUACACAAAAAAUUUAGUGAUUUGAGGAGAGGAGAGGAGUGUUAUAGACGAAGAAGAAAAAGCUUUUACCUUUCUAGUUACCAGAGAAGGAGCGCAUGGGUUGAUCUGGAGAAACGAGUUCGGGAGAGAAACCGCCAUUGAAACUUUUAUAUCCCUUCCUCGUAUUGUUUUUGAGUAGAACUUAGUUUCUGGGUAAAUAUCUCUACUAGUUGUGUUUAGUUUUUGUGAUUUUGCUUCACUUUGAUGUCUGACUGAAUCUAUUCUUUGUUGUGAUUCAUCUGUGUUCUUGCAGGGAUCUUUUAAGGAGGAGACAAGAUGAGAUUAGUUUGUUUUUUUGGUUUAACGUUUUGGUUUUGGACACACAUAGAUGCUCUGUUCAUUACUUUCUUUUAAGGAGGAGACAAGAUGAGAUUAGCUAAAAAGAGGAAGCUCGGAUUGGUUGUAGAUGAGGAUGAGGAUACUAAGACAGAAGAAGGAUAUGGAGAGGGGCAGAGUGGGGAUGACUUAACAAGACUUGUCAAUGUUUGAGCUGGUCCCAACAAGCACCUCGUGUUGGUUCAAAUGGGAAUGGUGAUCAUAGCAUGAUCGAUCUUAACUCCAACCCUCAGAGAGUACACGAGCCUGGAUCAACUUACCAAGUAUGUAUUGUUUUAGUUUUUUUUCUUUUAAGAAUCCCAAAAUAAAAACCUCCCGUUGGAGCACAAAAAUGUUCAGGGUGCUUAGCGUUGGAUCUUAAAUCACUUUUACAACUUAAAAUUAUUAAAAAAAGA